AUACGAAGGGUGCAAGCGUUACUCGGAAUUACUGGGCGUAAAGCGUGCGUAGGUGGUUCGUUAAGUCUGAUGUGAAAGCCCUGGGCUCAACCUGGGAAUUGCAUUGGAUACUGGCGGGCUGGAGUACGGUAGAGGGUGGCGGAAUUCCUGGUGUAGCAGUGAAAUGCGUAGAUAUCAGGAGGAACAUCCGUGGCGAAGGCGGCCACCUGGACCAGUACUGACACUGAGGCACGAAAGCGUGGGGAGCAAACAGGAUUAGAUACCCUGGUAGUCCACGCCCUAAACGAUGCGAACUGGAUGUUGGGUUCAAUCAGGAACUCAGUAUCGAAGCUAACGCGUUAAGUUCGCCGCCUGGGGAGUACGGUCGCAAGACUGAA
RNAcentral lists this ribosomal RNA (377 nucleotides) under uncultured bacterium. RNAcentral's name for it is "bacterial SSU rRNA". It matches the Rfam family "Bacterial small subunit ribosomal RNA", at positions 523 to 898 of the family's 1533-position model. The record is from RNAcentral.